Molecule: long non-coding RNA, 1837 nt
Filed under: Felis catus (domestic cat)
Lineage: Eukaryota; Metazoa; Chordata; Mammalia; Carnivora; Felidae
Description: lncRNA (ENSFCAG00000051865.1)
Source: RNAcentral
UGGCGGCCCCGCUUAAGCGGGGCGGCGGCCAUGUUUGUGAGGGGCACCCCCCGCCCCCCCCCCCCCCCCCCCCGGAAGCCCGGCCACGUGUCUGGGGGGAUGGCGGGAAGUGGUUGUUCACAAGAGGGCGGUCUCUUUCAUCCUCGCCCCGGAGGUGGCCUCCUACCCUGGCGUGUGAAUGCCCGGCAGCGCUAGGGUGCGCCCGGCCUGGGGGCUGGCGAAGCCCCGGAUCUCGGAGGUGGGCCGGCGAGGCCCUGCGUGGUUCUGCCCCUAAGCUGCCCUCAGGGACCCCGGCGCCCCCAGCCUCGAGCCUCUCCCCGGCGCCGGUGGAGCGCAGCUGGCCCUCGGACGGCCGUACCUCCCGGGGUUCAGCCCUUUCAGUCCCGCUUCUCUGCAGCCCUGGCCUCACGGUGACGGUCCCAAAGGCGCUGCCCUCUCCCCUCUCCGGCGUCCUGGCUUUUGGCAGCUCAGGGACUGUGCAUUAAAGCCAGUGUCUGCCUUUGAGAGUUUUAAAGUUAGAUGAAAUCCAGCCUUGCCUUUAAACACUCCAGUCCCCCAGCUCUGGGCUCUAGGACCUGUGCCUUGAAGAGGCCUCGGUGGGCCCCCCGGGGGCCGAGGGACGCCCAGCCCUGUCCUCCAGCCCAUCAACCCCCCCACCCCCUUUGGGGGCUGAGGGAUGCCCAGCCCUGUCCUCUAACCCUGCUUGCUGGUGCCCCUCCGGAACUGGCCUCCCGGAGUCGUGGCACAAAGGCGGAAGCAGCCAUACGUGUGCUUUGCGAGUCAAUGACAGUGGUGUUUACUUUAUUAUCAUGUGUUUACAGAGGCAUCUUCGGGUAAUUAGGCGGAGCCCCUUCGAUUAGGCCUCAUGUGGGGUCUGCUUUGGGCCGUGAGUGAAAGCACACGCAGUGUUGGCGUGCACACAGGCACGCUCGCGUGCUCACACGUGCUUGUCCACCCGGCUGCCUGUUUCCCGUGGCCUCCGUGGAAGGGAGAAGACAAAUGUGGACUGGCAGGAAAAAUCCAUUUGAAAGGGAAACUAAUCUAACCACUGCCAGCUGUUGAAGAAACACCCAAGGCCGAACCGCGUUAAACACCUGUCCCAUUUUCACUGAAAUUGGUUUCCUGAUAAACUAGGUUCAGUGGUUUUAUUCUGGGGUCCUUCAGAGCUCCGGUUCUCAUAAACUAGGAGCUGACUGUCACCAGCUAGCGUUUGCCUCGAAGGGGAUUGUGGUGUCUGCUGAUGUCGGGACCGCUGCCCGAGCCCUCGGUGCCUCUGAGCACGGCCUCCCAGAGGGGGAUGCUUCAUCUCUGUUCACAAAUUUGCCCUGCGCCCCCUCCCCUGGGUUUGUGUGAAUGGUGUUUCCAGCCCCCCAGCUGCUCUGGCCUGACACCCAGGGCCACCCGGGAUAGGUGACACUCCCUCAGCCCCUGCUUCGAAUCAGCGACCAUUCCUGCACAGCCGCAUGGCUGGACCCCCUUCUCCUCCUGCCCACGCUGCCCACGGCAGUGGGGUGGUCACUUCCCAGUGGUGGCCUGACCCCCUGCUGAAGCUCUCUGUUGCUUCCCCCCUGCUUCUGGGAUCAAGAGCUGGUCCUUUUUUUUAAAUAAGUUUUUUUUUUUUAAGUUUAUUUAUUUGUUUAGAGAGAGAGAGAGAAAGAACAGGGGAGGGGCAGAGAGAGAAUCCCAAGCAGGCUCUGUGCUGCCAGCACAGAGCCCGACGAGGGACUCCAACUCACGAACUGUGGAAUCGUGACCUGAGCCGAAAUCAAGAGUCGGCAGCUUGCCCGAUGGAGCCACCCACGUACCCCAAGAGCCGGUCUUAAUAUGACCUGUAAGG